UGAGUAAUGCUUAGGAAUCUGCCUAUUAGUGGGGGACAACAUCUCGAAAGGGAUGCUAAUACCGCAUACGUCCUACGGGAGAAAGCAGGGGAUCUUCGGACCUUGCGCUAAUAGAUGAGCCUAAGUCGGAUUAGCUAGUUGGUGGGGUAAAGGCCUACCAAGGCGACGAUCUGUAGCGGGUCUGAGAGGAUGAUCCGCCACACUGGGACUGAGACACGGCCCAGACUCCUACGGGAGGCAGCAGUGGGGAAUAUUGGACAAUGGGCGCAAGCCUGAUCCAGCCAUGCCGCGUGUGUGAAGAAGGCCUUAUGGUUGUAAAGCACUUUAAGCGAGGAGGAGGCUACUUUAGUUAAUACCUAGAGAUAGUGGACGUUACUCGCAGAAUAAGCACCGGCUAACUCUGUGCCAGCAGCCGCGGUAAUACAGAGGGUGCAAGCGUUAAUCGGAUUUACUGGGCGUAAAGCGCGCGUAGGCGGCUAAUUAAGUCAAAUGUGAAAUCCCCGAGCUUAACUUGGGAAUUGCAUUCGAUACUGGUUAGCUAGAGUGUGGGAGAGGAUGGUAGAAUUCCAGGUGUAGCGGUGAAAUGCGUAGAGAUCU
Molecule: ribosomal RNA, 597 nt
Filed under: Escherichia coli
Lineage: Bacteria; Pseudomonadati; Pseudomonadota; Gammaproteobacteria; Enterobacterales; Enterobacteriaceae
Description: bacterial SSU rRNA
Rfam family: Bacterial small subunit ribosomal RNA
Source: RNAcentral